RNAcentral lists this ribosomal RNA (450 nucleotides) under uncultured bacterium. Its description in RNAcentral is "bacterial SSU rRNA". It matches the Rfam family "Bacterial small subunit ribosomal RNA", at positions 354 to 796 of the family's 1533-position model. The record is from RNAcentral.
GUGGGGAAUAUUGGACAAUGGGCGAAAGCCUGAUCCAGCCAUGCCGCGUGUGUGAAGAAGGUCUUCGGAUUGUAAAGCACUUUAAGUUGGGAGGAAGGGCAGUAAGUUAAUACCUUGCUGUUUUGACGUUACCAACAGAAUAAGCACCGGCUAACUUCGUGCCAGCAGCCGCGGUAAUACGAAGGGUGCAAGCGUUAAUCGGAAUUACUGGGCGUAAAGCGCGCGUAGGUGGUUUUGUAAGUUGGAGGUGAAAUCCCCGGGCUCAACCUGGGAACUGCCUCCAAAACUGCAUGACUAGAGUACGGUAGAGGGUAGUGGAAUUUCCUGUGUAGCGGUGAAAUGCGUAGAUAUAGGAAGGAACACCAGUGGCGAAGGCGACUACCUGGACUGAUACUGACACUGAGGUGCGAAAGCGUGGGGAGCAAACAGGAUUAGAUACCCCUGUAGUCC